CAGCCAAGGUCAAAUGCACUCUGAGGUUACUUAGAAAAGGAGAGCAUUGUCUCUUCAAGAAUCAAGCUUCUUUCCGAGAUAACUUUCGCACGUGGGACUUUGUGUAGUGCGCGGUGUUCCAACAGUGUGUCCCUGCAAUGCAAUCGCCGACUUCUAUAUGACUGUUUCUUCUAGUAACUUUUUUGAUAGGAGCAAAUGGCAGGACAUUAAAAUACAAUUCAGAGACGGCAGUUCCAUGUGGGGCUAAGGUAAUACGGCCCUAGUGUGAAGCCGUGAGGUGGUCAGGUUUGAUCCACGGAUGGAAUUUAGAGUGUUUUGAAGAAUGGAUGAACUGCUUGUCCUUCAAAUAAUCUUUUGUAAAUAUUGCUUUUCUCAGCUGGGCUUUUGAUGGGAGUUGAAUAGCAGACAGUUUGAGAAUGUAUUCUCUGACAAGAGCCUGGUGUGUUUGUAUUCUCUGUUGCUGGUCCAGGGCAGAGCCUUAUGCCUUAGAAAUCAGAAGUGCAGGUGGUAAAGUUGACAUCUUAUUGUGAAAAUUGGACUCCCGCCUGAACGGAAGACCAUUCUCCCUCUCCCUAAGCAGAGCUGCAGGAGUCCUUGCAAGCAAAUCCAGACUCUUCUUUGGGAGUCAGGCUGGGGGGCCUCUUCCAGGGCUCAGGUAAGUUCUCAGACAAGCCCUGUGGUUCUGGGCAUUAGUUCCGAGGGUCCAAACCACAGUGCAGCCCCGCCCUGGUUGGGGUGGACCCAAGAGAAAGGGUGACGGGCGGACAGGUUACAUCCUAUUGCUGGAAGGUACAGCCUACCCUGCUUCUUUAGCAUCCUUGGAGAGAUACCUGUGGGUCAAGAAGGAAUCUGUGCUGGAAGUAUCACCUGUGUGGUUCUAGGCAAAAGAUAGUUGAACGACUGGUCUGGUCUGUGGUCGGAAUGUCUCUAGCCUAGGUUCCUAGCUGCCACCACCCUGCAAGUAGCAGAAACUCUGUAAUUCCUUCACAGGAUUCAAAGUAACAUAAUUUCGUGGUAGACCUGCUAGAUCAAUUAAGCCCCAUUUUUUUUCCCUUGAGAAAUUAAAUGAAUUAAUCUGUUCAGUGAAGGUGUUUGAGCAAGUCCCAUGCCAUGGAGAGACAUGUCCGCUAUUUCAGUUUGCUGCAGCUACUACUGAACCAUUCCUUCUGAAGGCAGAUGCCAAGACCGUUGAUCUGUUGACACUACUUUAUGUCAAGGUCUAUAAAGAAGAACUGUGAUGAGAAGAGAGAGAAGAAGCGGAAAGGAACCGUGGGGAUGAGCUGGGGCAGUCUUGGGAUUUUCAAGAGGCGUGGGGAAGUUAUGACUCUCUUACAGAAAGUCCAUCACCCUGGGCGAAGACUUGUUUCCACCGUGUGGCAGGUCGGGUGUGUCUGUGAGGGGGAUCCCAAUACAUGGUGACAGUGGCUCUUGCGCUUCUCGGCAUCCAGGGGCCUCAUCAGCAUCCAUCCGCAUUCAGCUUGUUCCAGGUGGGGCCUGGAUGCUGGUGUUACCUGGUGGGAGAUGCCUGGUCUCCCUUUAAAAAAGAAAUGGCUUGAACCUGGUGACCGCGUCUUCCUCACACAGAGGAGGGGGUUGACCAGGACACCCAGAAACGCAUCAGGGUGGUGCUUUGUGAGUCUGUUGUAUGGGAGUCAACCCAGUUCUCUGCCUUUCUAGACAGCUUCAAGCUGCUGUGACCAUUAUUCCAGUUCAUUAAAUGUUAAUGGGUUAUCAAUAAAGGAAGAGUAAUCCCUUGAAGUCCCUUUAACGUGUUUUAUUCUUCCUCUCAAAUAAAUGAUUAACAUCAAUAGGAAUUGCUCAAUAUAUGGUGUCUGCAAGACCGCUUGCUUCUAGAGGCUUUCUCCUGUAGUUUAUUGCCUGGAGUGGACGCCUUGAUAAGAUCUUCAAUAGAGAAAGCGGUGGACAUUUGUAUCCGCUGGUCAGUGACAUAGAGUUGGAUCUAAUGAGUGCACUGGCUCGAGGGCGAGGGCGUUUGCAUAAAUCACACUGUUCUUUUCCCUCUCGGUUGGUCCUGCUUGUAGAACCAGAGUAUCUUUGCGAUGGCAAGGGUCCUGCAGUUAUUUUAUCCAGCAGCCCAUUCUUCAAGGAACGUCUUCCGUAGCUGCCCUGGCAGAUGGUCUCACGCCCUCGGUCCUUACUUCUGGGGAAGGGCCUCGCCUGCCUCCUGAGGCCCCUCGUUCUGCUCCCCCACCGCUGCCCUAGUGGACCAUUUGCCUCCCCUUCCCGAUGCUCUCUUACUUCCUCCUCCUCAGGGUGCUCAUCACAGUUGCAGUCUUCCAUUGAUUAGGUUGCCUCCCCUAAAAGACUGAAAGUUUGGGGAGGCCAGGGGCUCCCCUUUUAGAUGGUCCCUGUCCCGGUGACCAGGGGUGAUUUGUUGAAUGAGUGGAGGGGUGAACUCAUGCACUCGAGCUCAGAAACUUCAAAAGAGAACCAGGAAGGAAUUAUACAUCAUGCAAAUGGAAACAGAGACUUUUUUCCCCAGAUACCAGCUCAUCUGAUCACAACAACUUUAAAGUGAACGUGAAGGGGAGCGUGGCGAGAAACACCCAGGAACAGGUUUUUUUAAAGACAAGCACUACAAAACUAGUUACAAUACCCAAGAAUUAAAAAUAAAUUUUUUAGGAGUUCCCAUUGUGGCUUAGUGGAAACGAAUCUGACCAGCAUCCCUGAGGAUGCAGGUUCGAUCCCUGGCCUCGAUCAGUGGGUUAAGGAUCCAGCGUUGCCCUGAGUUGUGGUGUAGGUCGCAGACACGGCUUGGAUCUGGUGUGGCUGUGGCUGUGGUGUAGCAGCUGCAGCUUCGAUUCAGCGCCUAGCCUGGGAACCUCCAUAUGCCACAGGUGUGGCCCUAAAAAGACAAAAAAUAAAAAUAAAUAAAUAAAUAAAUUUUUAGGACUCAGAAACAUUCAGAACAUGGGAGGAUCAAAAUGUGGGUGGCUUUUUUUUUUAGCCUUGCGUGGUGACUCUGACCUUGGAAAUAUCACAGAGAUUUGGUGAGACUGAAACAGAUAGGAAAGGGGGCUUGAAAAGCCUUCCCUGUGGAGGACAGAGGGCUGCUUUGCGGAGGAGAGUCACCCUGGAGUGGAAACCCACAGAGCAGAGGCAGCAGCCUGGAGGAGAGCAUUCAGUGAGGAAAUGCAGCUUCAGGCCCCAGAGCUCCGCAGAAGGACUCCAGAGGCAGAUACGGGGGCACCCAGCAGGUGGCCCCAGCCCCAGCUCCCAGCGCAUCUCCUGAUGGGGAGGUCCUGCCCCGGAUCCCCACACACAAGGGCACUGGGCCCGUGAUGCACCCCGUCUCGGGCCGGCCCAGGGACAGCUGCUCUCCUGAGUCCCAUCUCGAGAGAAUCAUCACCGUCCCCAUGCUUCCCGCCUUCCCUCAGCUCCCACGUCGCCUGAGUCACCCAGGUUUGUCACUUCUAUCCUUGCAAGGUCUCCUGACCUACCUUCCUUUCCACUAACACAGCUCAGACCCUGAUUCCUCUCAGGCAUCUCCUUGCACAACCAACUCACAGGAAGGGGACCGCCCUGCACGCCCGAUCUUUGCUCUCAGUUGCCCGACUCCACCACCCGCUCUGCCCCCAUCUUCCCGGGUGUCUUCUGAGCACCCCCUGCCCCCAGACCAGUCAGAUUCUGUGCAACGUCAAGGCCCUGCUUCUGUCCCGUCUCACUCAGAAAGCACCUCUCCACAGCUGCUCCCCCGUCUCCAGCCGCUCCUGGGCCUCUGACUCCUUUUCCUUCCUCCCUCCAUCAUCUUCCCUGGUGGCUGAGUCUCUGCCUUCCCCUCGCCCACUCCCCACACCCUCACCGACCCCCGAGAGGUCUCAGUCAUCCUUGUCACCAGUCAGCCCAUGCCCCCCCGCCGCCCAGCGUUGCAUACAGAUGGUGCUCAGUCAGUGUUUAUGGAGGCGAAUGGGAUGUUUCCUCCCAAGACAUGGAUUCCGCACUCUCCCUGCCCUUCUGGUUUGGCAGCUUUUCAGCCUAUUUUCAGAGGCUGUUUCAGAUCCUUCCUGGAAGGACGGUCAGGCGGGCAGACGGCCGUUCCUCCGUUCCUGGGACUCACGCUUUGCUCUCCUUCGUCCCGGCUUCUCUAGUCUCCUCCUCUCCAGAAUCCCAUGCAGAUGACAGGGUCUCCAGGGGCCUCUGCAGAGCCUUCAAACUCCGGAACGCCGUGCCCGGGGCCAGCAGACAGCAGCUCCCUUACAGCAGUGGCAGCGCGCUCUGGGCAGACCAGGAACCGUCUGGCGCUUGAGGCCUCUCCUCCCUGCUGGACGUGGACAUCCUGGUCCCUCCGGCAGAAUUUGAUUCGCUGUCUCUCCGCCCAGCACUGGAGCUGCUCAGGGCUCUUUGGGAUUUUUUUUUGUUUUGUUUCCUUCUGUUUUUUGGUUGAAUUCCCCACUCAUCCCCUCCGCGUUUCAGGGGUAGAGUCACUUCGCCGUAAUAACUGCUCCGAUCAUUUACGCAGCCAUUUUAGGUAUUGAUCAACAUAAUAGUUAUUUCAUCAAACCCUAGAAACUCGCCCUCCUGGCAUGCUUUCCCCACCCACGCUCACCAAGAAAAGAGAAGUCCCUCUUCACCCCAUAGCCGUUGUACGGAUGCCGUGAAAUACGUUCCUCACUUUGCUCUAUCCAUACCGCUUCUUCUUUUGUUCAAAGGGGAUGUAGAAGAGAAAGAAGAAAGCCUCGGUCUACACAAAUAGCACUAAAUAUAAACAGUGGAAAUAGGCUUCUGGGUGUUAAACGCUCCGGGGAAGUUGUUAUGGCAACCUGAAGUCCCAGCAUUAAUGCGAUGGGAUGGAAGCGGUGCCUGCAGUGGUCGCCGUGUUCUCCAAGAUUUAUCUUCCCUCUGAGACAGGAGGCAGAGCUUUGAUUUAAUCAGUGACAUCUCGAUUUAGAAUAGGGAGACAAGCAGGUGGGUAGUGGGGCCUGGAGUUGGGUUUCCAGAACAAGUUUUGUAUUUCUCUGUUCAGAGGAAUCAGACGCCUCCUUACACGAACUUCAGUGAGCCUUGUUCAGAGCACAUAGGUUUAAAGUCAGAGGAUAGAUAAUGUAGGUAGACAUUAAUUCCCUCCAAAGAGCCUGAAGUUCUGUUGAAUUUAAGGAGUCCUUGGACUGGAAUGUGAAAUCAAUGUCUUUAUCAGGAAAGGGCCCGAUGAUACAAUUGUUUUGCUGCUGUUGUUGUUGUUGUUUUGCUUUUUAGGGCCGCAUCUGCAGCGUAGGGAGGUUCCCAGGCUGGGAGUCGAAUCAGAGUUGUAGCCACAGACCUGUGCCGAAGCCACAGCAACUUGGGAUCCGAGGUGUGUCUGUGACCUACACCACAGCUCACGGCAACGCCGGAUCGUUAACCCACUGAGCAAGGCCAGGGAUCGGACCCCCAACCUCAUGGUUCCUAGUCGGAUUCGUUAACCACUGUGCCACGAUAUGAACUCCCCAGUGAUACAGCUCUUCUUGCAACCGUCCAAGGUGAUAAAUUCCUAGAGCAGAGAUGGGCUGUGGGUCAGGAAUCCUCAACAGAGACGAAAUCAUGGUGUCCGGCGAGAGGGCGAGAAGGAACAUGAGCAGGAAAUAGGAAGUCCUGGUUUUCACUGAGAGGACAGGCUUGCAGGUGCCACCAUGUGCAAGUUGUGACUCUUUUUUUUUUUUUUUUUUUUUUUUUUUUUUGUCUUUUUGCCAUUUCUUGGGCCGCUCCUGCGGCAUAUGGAGAUUCCCAGACUAGGGGUCGAAUCGGAGCUGCAGCUGCUGGCCUAUGCCUGAGCCACAGCAACGUGGGAUCCAAGCUGCGUCUGCAACCUACACCACAGUUCACGGCAACACCGGAUCCUUCACCCACUGAGCAAGGCCAGGGAUGGAACCCAUAACCUCAUGGUUCCUAGUUGGGUUCGUUAACCACUGCACCACGACAGGAACUCCACAAGUUGUGACUCUUGAGUUCUGUGAGGGAGGGGGAGAGGAGAGCAUGAGCCUUCCUUUUCAGGGGAAAUAAAUCACCAAGAAGGAGUGUUUUAUAGAGGGAACCCGACAUGCCCGUCACUUCUGUUUCCUGAAGCCAGAGACAUGCAGAAUAAGGCCCCCAUCUGGGGAGGUGAACAGGGAGCCGCAGUUUAAGUGGUCUUCUAGAACAUGCCAUCUAGAAAGGGAACAGUGAGCUGCCAGGCACAAGGGUGGGCAAAGCAGACGGGAGGUCACAGCAACCUUUGGGAAAACGUCUCCCCAAAGACUGUUUAUUUGUUGAAAGAGUAACCUCAUUCAUCCUCUCCAGCCAUGCGUCAACACCCCUGUGCUCGCCAAAGGAGCACUCGCCAGCACCAGCGAUGCCCAUGGGAGGGUCCAGAGCCUUUAGACCCGACACCACAGAGAACCUGCUUCUCGUGGGCAGACCACGGGGUAGAGCAGCCUGGGAAACGCCAGCUUCACAAACUCAGUUACCUUGCAGUUCCCUCCUGAGGCCGUCCUCGCCUCGCCAGAAAAGGGAAUGAAGACCCCCAAUCAGGGAGUUCCCACUGUGACACGACAGGGUUGGUGGUGUCUCUGCAGCACCAGGAUGCAGGUUCAGUCCCCCGCCAGGCUCUGUGGGUUAAAGGAUCCAGCACCGUCACCAGCUGUGGCGUAGGCCAUAGGCCUCGACCGUGGCCCU
Molecule: long non-coding RNA, 6648 nt
Filed under: Sus scrofa (pig)
Lineage: Eukaryota; Metazoa; Chordata; Mammalia; Artiodactyla; Suidae
Description: lncRNA (ENSSSCG00055024269.1)
Source: RNAcentral